GAUGAACGCUGGCGGCGUGCUUAACACAUGCAAGUCGAACGGGAUCGGCUGGAGCUUGCUCCGGCCGUGAGAGUGGCGAACGGGUGAGUAAUGCGUGACCGACCUGCCCCAUACACCGGAAUAGCUCCUGGAAACGGGUGGUAAUGCCGGAUGCUCCGACAUGACGCAUGUCGUGUCGGGAAAGAUUCAUCGGUAUGGGAUGGGGUCGCGUCCUAUCAGCUUGAUGGCGGGGUAACGGCCCACCAUGGCUUCGACGGGUAGCCGGCCUGAGAGGGCGACCGGCCACAUUGGGACUGAGAUACGGCCCAGACUCCUACGGGAGGCAGCAGUGGGGAAUAUUGCACAAUGGGCGCAAGCCUGAUGCAGCGACGCCGCGUGCGGGAUGACGGCCUUCGGGUUGUAAACCGCUUUUGACUGGGAGCAAGCCCUUCGGGGUGAGUGUACCUUUCGAAUAAGCACCGGCUAA
RNAcentral lists this ribosomal RNA (466 nucleotides) under uncultured bacterium. RNAcentral describes it as "bacterial SSU rRNA". It matches the Rfam family "Bacterial small subunit ribosomal RNA", at positions 28 to 500 of the family's 1533-position model. The record is from RNAcentral.